UUUUGCAUUUGUGCCCUCUAACAUCCCCUUCCCUUUUCUGUUGCUGAAAGUUUUCCCUUGGGCACCGCAAGAUCAAUGUGAAGGUGGAGUGAAACAGCAAAGGAACGCUCUAAUAGGUCCUUCGUAUCUACAAUGUCCUGGACAUGAAGAACACGACCUGCCAGGACCUGCAGAUAGAAGUGACAGUCAAAGGCCACGUCGAGUACACGAGGGAAGCAAACGAGGACUAUGAGGACUAUGAGUACGAUGAGCUUCCAGCCAAGGACGACCCAGAUGCCCCUCUGCAGCCUGUGACACCCCUGCAGCUGUUUGAGGGUCGGAGGAACCGCCGCAGGAGGGAGGCGCCCAAGGUGGUGGAGGAGCAGGAGUCCAGGGUGCACUACACCGUGUGCAUCUGGCGGAAUGGCAAGGUGGGACUGUCUGGCAUGGCCAUCGCGGACAUCACCCUCCUGAGUGGAUUCCACGCCCUGCGUGCUGACCUGGAGAAGCUGACCUCCCUCUCUGACCGUUACGUGAGUCACUUUGAGACCGAGGGGCCCCACGUCCUGCUGUAUUUUGACUCG
Molecule: small RNA, 563 nt
Filed under: Pongo abelii (Sumatran orangutan)
Lineage: Eukaryota; Metazoa; Chordata; Mammalia; Primates; Hominidae
Description: retained intron
Source: RNAcentral